AUGCACACUUUCCAUGAACUUUUUGAAGACCCCACGGCUCUGUUCCUCCGAAUGCAGUACAAACCUCACCUGAAGGCAGCUCCGGACCAGCCAAAAGGUCGCUUUCCCCUCCCCCUCCCCACCAGCAGCACCCUGAAGAAGGGAGGAGGGGGUAAUGGCGGGACAGGGGAUGCGGGGGCGGGUGGGGGCCUUCGGGCAGCACUUCCGCCCGGUGUGUCUCCGCAGCGACCCGCCAGUCCUACAGGGUCCCGCGCUCGGACCCGUGCUUGCCGAUGCCAUCUUGAAAGCCUCCAUGAUGCUGGAACAAGGCACCCACAUCUGCGUUUUGCCCUGGGCUCCACAAAUGACGAGCUGCCCCUGCACAGUCCUCUCCGCAACCCCGCGGCCUCCGCCGACAAAGGUGAAACCGCAGCCCGGUGUCCAACAGCCGGGGCUCUUCCUGGCGCUCGCCGGCGCCCACUACCGAACCUCGCCUGCGCGCUCCCGGGUCUGCCUGGGGGUGUCACAGUCUACAUCCCCGAGGCGCACGCCCCCUCCCGCUGUUCCCAGGGGAGUCAGAGCUUUGUGCAGAGGCUGGCUCAGAGUCCACAUCCAGCUCCCCGUGCGGUUGUCAGCGUCGCCGCUGACAGGCAGGAGGUGCAGGGGAGAGCUGCAGGCUGGGCUCACAGGGGAGAGCUGUGGGCUCCUGCUGACGUGCGGCAAUGCAGAGAAAGCAGCAGCCCCGCACAGGGCAUUCUGAACUGCCCGUUCCCUCCCUACGCGCCUAAUCACCCCUCUCCCGUCCCCUCAACGACAGCCUGUGCUCUAUCUCGGGGCCUUUUCUUAUCAUGUCUUGAACAUGAACACUGCUUGUCUCUGCUUCUGAAACUUUGUACAAAAUGCAGGCUUCUAGAACAUUCCCCGGGGCUGCUGUUUCUCAACUCGGUGCCCACCACCUCCUCCACAGGGCCUUCUUGGGUGCCUUCUCCACUCCAUCUCUCCUUUUCUUGGGGCAGAAUCCCAUUGCAGUAUACUUCAUUAUGGCUUCUUGCCUCUUCCCACACCCCACCUCAACGGGGGCAGACGCUAGGUCCUUGUGUAGAACCUGAGCGUCUGAGGCCGGAGACCUUGACCCUGGGGAAAUGCUACCCACCACAUCAGAAUGUCCCUUCUGAGCUCCGGCUUUGUGAAAGACAGUGGAUCGCACCUGCCCCUCCUGGCCUUCUCACAGUGUGUGAUGGAAGCCAACUCCAAAAAGAAGGCUGA
This 1245-nucleotide long non-coding RNA is filed under the name Oryctolagus cuniculus (rabbit). Its description in RNAcentral is "lncRNA (ENSOCUG00000034043.1)". The record is from RNAcentral. Lineage: Eukaryota; Metazoa; Chordata; Mammalia; Lagomorpha; Leporidae.